This 521-nucleotide ribosomal RNA is filed under the name uncultured bacterium. RNAcentral's name for it is "partial 16S ribosomal RNA". It matches the Rfam family "Bacterial small subunit ribosomal RNA", at positions 355 to 864 of the family's 1533-position model. The record is from RNAcentral.
UGGGGAAUAUUGCACAAUGGGCGCAAGCCUGAUGCAGCCAUGCCGCGUGUGUGAAGAAGGCCUUCGGGUUGUAAAGCACUUUCGGCGAGGAGGAAGGUGGUGAGCUUAAUACGCUCAUCAAUUGACGUUACUCGCAGAAGAAGCACCGGCUAACUCCGUGCCAGCAGCCACGGUAAUACGGAGGGUGCAAGCGUUAAUCGGAAUUACUGGGCGUAAAGCGCACGCAGGCGGUUUGUUAAGUCAGAUGUGAAAUCCCCGGGCUCAACCUGGGAACUGCAUUUGAAACUGGCAAGCUAGAGUCUCGUAGAGGGGGGUAGAAUUCCAGGUGUAGCGGUGAAAUGCGUAGAGAUCUGGAGGAAUACCGGUGGCGAAGGCGGCCCCCUGGACGAAGACUGACGCUCAGGUGCGAAAGCGUGGGGCAGCAAACAGGAUUAGAUACCCUGGUAGUCCACGCUGUAAAACGAUGUCGAUUUUGGAGGUUGUGCCCCUUGAGGCGUGGCUUCCGGAGCUAACGCGUUAAA